Molecule: ribosomal RNA, 496 nt
Filed under: uncultured bacterium
Lineage: Bacteria
Description: partial 16S ribosomal RNA
Rfam family: Bacterial small subunit ribosomal RNA
Source: RNAcentral
AUGCACGCUGGCGGCGUGCCUAAUCCAUGCCAGUCGAGCGAACGGACGAGAAGCUUGCUUUUCUGAUGUUAGCGGCGGACGGGUGAGUAACACGUGGAUAACCUACCUAUAAGACUGGGAUAACUUCGGGAAACCGGAGCUAAUACCGGAUAAUAUUUUGCACCGCCUGGUUCAAAAGUGAAAGACGGUCUUGCUGUCACUUAUAGAUGGAUCCGCGCUGCAUUAGCUAGUUGGUAAGGUAACGGCUUACCAAGGCAACGAUGCAUAGCCGAACUGAGAGGGUGAUCGGCCACACUGGAACUGAGACACGGUCCAGACUCCUACGGGAGGCAGCAGUAGGGAAUCUUCCGCAAUGGGCGAAAGCCUGACGGAGCAACGCCGCGUGAGUGAUGAAGGUCUUCGGAUCGUAAAACUCUGUUAUUAGGGAAGAACAUAUGUGUAAGUAACUGUGCACAUCUUGACGGUACCUAAUCAGAAAGCCACGGCUAACUACGUG